GAUGAACGCUGGCGGCGUGCCUAAUACAUGCAAGUCGAGCGAACAGACGAGGAGCUUGCUCCUCUGACGUUAGCGGCGGACGGGUGAGUAACACGUGGAUAACCUACCUAUAAGACUGGGAUAACUUCGGGAAACCGGAGCUAAUACCGGAUAAUAUAUUGAACCGCAUGGUUCAAUAGUGAAAGACGGUUUUGCUGUCACUUAUAGAUGGAUCCGCGCCGCAUUAGCUAGUUGGUAAGGUAACGGCUUACCAAGGCAACGAUGCGUAGCCGACCUGAGAGGGGGAUUCGGCCCCCCGGAACUGAGAAACGGGCCCGACUCCUAAGGGAGGCAGGCGUAGGGAAUCUUUCGGAAUGGGGGAAAGCCCGACGGAGCAACGCCGGGUGAGUUAUGAAGGUCUUCGGAUCGGAAAACCCUGUUAUUAGGGAAGAACAAAUGUGUAAGUAACCAUGCACGUCUUGACGGUACCUAAUCAGAAAGCCACGGCUAACUACGUG
Molecule: ribosomal RNA, 497 nt
Filed under: uncultured bacterium
Lineage: Bacteria
Description: partial 16S ribosomal RNA
Rfam family: Bacterial small subunit ribosomal RNA
Source: RNAcentral